This 397-nucleotide ribosomal RNA is filed under the name uncultured bacterium. RNAcentral describes it as "bacterial SSU rRNA". It matches the Rfam family "Bacterial small subunit ribosomal RNA", at positions 28 to 422 of the family's 1533-position model. The record is from RNAcentral.
GAUGAACGCUAGCGGCAGGCCUCAUACAUGCAAGUCGAGGGGCAACAGAACACUUCGGUGUUGCUGGCGACCGGCGAACGGGUGCGUAACACGUAUGCAAUCUACCUUGUACUGGGGAAUAGCUCUCGGAAACGAGGAUUAAUGUCCCAUACUCUCCUAACAGCACAUGCUGAUAGGAGGAAAGUUCCGGUGGUACAAGAUGAGCAUGCGUCCCAUUAGCUAGUUGGUAAGGUAACGGCUUACCAAGGCCACGAUGGGUAGGGGUUCUGAGAGGAAGAUCCCCCACACUGGCACUGAGAUACGGGCCAGACUCCUACGGGAGGCAGCAGUAGGGAAUAUUGGUCAAUGGGCGCAAGCCUGAACCAGCCAUGCCGCGUGCAGGAUGAAAGCCCUCAGG